Molecule: non-coding RNA, 140 nt
Filed under: Mycobacterium kansasii
Lineage: Bacteria; Bacillati; Actinomycetota; Actinomycetes; Mycobacteriales; Mycobacteriaceae
Source: RNAcentral
AGAGGGAAUCCGGUGAGAAUCCGGAACUGUCCCGCAGCGGUAUGCAGGAACGACCGCCGUCAACAGCACUGGUCGCACGACUGGGAAGCGACGGCCACUAGGAGCACCACACAGGUGCGCGCCUGCGAGUCCGAAGACCU